UAUACAAACGGGCCUAAUCUAUUGGAAAACGUCGGGGCCGUUUCGCCGCGAAGAAACCAAGCUCUUCGAAAACCUUCUUCUUCUACUUCUCAUAUAAAAGCAUCUCUCUCUCUCUCUCUCUCUCUCUCUGCGUGUAUCGCUGUCUUUGAUGUGCAAACUUGAAGUUGAACAAGCAUGAUGAAUUCACAGACAGACAAACUGGUGAGAAGGACAACCAUGGUGGCAACUGUCACUGCUUCCUAUUUUCUCUUGACCGCUGACUAUGGCUCAGAACCAAACGCUCUCGAUCCUAUUAAGAAGGCAAUACUGUCAGCACAAAAUUCUGUUAAGGAGUAUGUAUUUGGACCAAAGAAGGAAUCUUAAGAGGGUCAAUUGGGGAAGCUGGGAUCCCGUGGCACCAAGGAGUAUCCUUAGUUAACGGCAGUUCACUUUGUAUAGGGAACUUUAUGGGUUUUAGAGAGGUUUUUACAAGAAUUGUCGAGUAUUUGAAAGUUGUAUGUAAUAUGGAACGUAGUUCUUUUGGCACAUCUUUUAUUUUGUCUCAUGGAUUUCAUAUAUUCGGAUCUCUGGCUGAAACCAAAACUUUACAUCAUGUUGACAUUGCAUGCUAUGGAUUAGAGAGCAUGUACAUUUUGUUGAAGCUUUUUCCUUUUGGGUUAUGCUAUUCUCUAGAGUUAAUGUUAUGAAAAAAUCUACUCAACUUCGGGUCUAUUAUCGCACACCACACGAACCCGGUCUAUGGCCCCACGUCAUGGUUCUUCCCUCUCACCCAUCACUUCCCCAAACUUCCCUAAACCAUCCUCUUCUCCCUCAGACUCUAGCCUUCUUCGUUCCUCACCCCAGCACCCAUCUCUUCUCCCUCACAAAUGCCCAUCUCUUCUCCCUCAACCCGAUCUUACUCUUCCCUCACCCAUCACCCCGACGCCCCUCACCCUAGAAAUGCUAUUUUUCGUCCUCAACGAAGAUCUCAUCUCCCUCACCCCUUCAGUCCCGUUCUGUCUCUCUCACCGAGCCGUCUUUGUAAGGUGCUAACUCCAGCCAUCUCUCUCGCUCUCAAACUCCGAAUGAUGGAUUGAGGUUCUCUUGCAAACUCUAGACAUCACAGACAGACCCAGUUCUGCGAAUCUCUCCAUCGUAGACGUCAAUAACCCAAGUGUUAGGGGGCUCGAUUACGAAGAUGAAGAAUGAAGGGGGAAGAAAGUUGCAGUCUUGGCUGCGGGGAGAGAGAUGAUGCAAGGAAGAAUCUAGAAAUUGGAAUGUCGAAGAGAUGGGAAGGAAGAAACCAGAGAGGAUACAACUAAUUGAACCAUUGCUUUUGCUCUUCUACCAAAGAACAUUUUACGAUUAGAACUAAAAGAAAAACAUAUGAUCUGAGUUUUUUUUUUCUUUCUUUUUUUGGAAUUAAAAGUGGAACAAAAUUGAACUCCAAGUGAAGUUGGUGCCUCGGGCAUUUCCUGUAACACCCGGACC
Molecule: RNA transcript, 1470 nt
Organism: Juglans regia (Persian walnut)
Lineage: Eukaryota; Viridiplantae; Streptophyta; Magnoliopsida; Fagales; Juglandaceae
Exons: 3
Source: RefSeq, a predicted model, not a curated record